CCACAGGCUCUCUCCAGAGCCACCAUCACCCUAAAAAAAGGGUUGU
Egretta garzetta (little egret) is the source of this 46-nucleotide non-coding RNA. The record is from Rfam. NCBI's taxonomy places the organism in Eukaryota, Metazoa, Chordata, Aves, Pelecaniformes, Ardeidae.